GACGAACGCUGGCGGCGUGCUUAACACAUGCAAGUCGAGCGGUAAGGCCCUUUCGGGGGUACACGAGCGGCGAACGGGUGAGUAACACGUGGGUGACCUGCCCUCAGCUCUGGGAUAAGCCUGGGAAACUGGGUCUAAUACUGGAUAUGACUCCACGGUGCAUGUCGUGGGGUGGAAAGCCUUGUGCGGCUGAGGAUGGGCCCGCGGCCUAUCAGCUUGUUGGUGGGGUGANGGCCUACCAAGGCGACGACGGGUAGCCGGCCUGAGAGGGCGACCGGCCACACUGGGACUGAGACACGGCCCAGACUCCUACGGGAGGCAGCAGUGGGGAAUCUUGCGCAAUGGGCGAGAGCCUGACGCAGCGACGCCGCGUGAGGGAUGACGGCCUGGUGUAAC
Molecule: ribosomal RNA, 396 nt
Filed under: uncultured bacterium
Lineage: Bacteria
Description: bacterial SSU rRNA
Rfam family: Bacterial small subunit ribosomal RNA
Source: RNAcentral